AUGAACGCUGGCGGCGUGCCUAAUACAUGCAAGUCGAGCGAACGGACGAGAAGCUUGCUUCUCUGAUGUUAGCGGCGGACGGGUGAGUAACACGUGGAUAACCUACCUAUAAGGCUGGGAUAACUUCGGGAAACCGUAGCUAAUACCGGAUAAUAUUUUGAACCGCAUGGUUCAAAAGUGAAAGACGGUCUUGCUGUCACUUAUAGAUGGAUCCGCGCUGCAUUAGCUAGUUGGUAAGGUAACGGCUUACCAAGGCAACGAUGCAUAGCCGACCUGAGAGGGUGAUCGGCCACACUGGAACUGAGACACGGUCCAGACUCCUACGGGAGGCAGCAGUAGGGAAUCUUCCGCAAAGGGCGAAAGCCUGACGGAGCAACGCCGCGUGAGUGAUGAAGGUCUUCGGAUCGUAAAACUCUGUUAUUAGGGAAGAACAUAUGUGUAAGUAACUGUGCACAUCUUGACGGUACCUAAUCAGAAAGCCACGGCUAACUACGUG
RNAcentral lists this ribosomal RNA (496 nucleotides) under uncultured bacterium. RNAcentral describes it as "partial 16S ribosomal RNA". It matches the Rfam family "Bacterial small subunit ribosomal RNA", at positions 29 to 507 of the family's 1533-position model. The record is from RNAcentral.